UGGAGCAUGUGGUUUAAUUCGAAGCAACGCGAAGAACCUUACCUGGGUUUGACAUAUGGGUGGUAGGGAACCGAAGGGACCGACCUUCGGAGCCAUACAGUGCUGCAUGGCUGUCGUCAGCUCGUGCCGUGAGGUGUUCGGUUAAGUCCGGUAACGAGCGCAACCCUCGUCGUCAGUUACAAGUGUCUGACGAGACUGCCCGUGAUAAGCGGGAGGAAGGUGGGGAUGACGUCAAGUCAGCAUGGCCUUUAUAUCCAGGGCUACACACACGCUACAAUGGCCGGUACAAUGGGUCGCCAACCCGCGAGGGGGAGCCAAUCCAAUAAAGCCGGUCUCAGUUCGGAUUGCAGGCUGCAACCCGCCUGCAUGAAGUCGGAGUUGCUAGUAACCGCGCGUCAGCACAGUGCGGUCGAAUACGUUCCCGGGCCUU
This 430-nucleotide ribosomal RNA is filed under the name uncultured Anaerolineaceae bacterium. Its description in RNAcentral is "bacterial SSU rRNA". It matches the Rfam family "Bacterial small subunit ribosomal RNA", at positions 933 to 1382 of the family's 1533-position model. Lineage: Bacteria; Bacillati; Chloroflexota; Anaerolineae; Anaerolineales; Anaerolineaceae. The record is from RNAcentral.